UGGGGAAUUUUGGACAAUGGGCGAAAGCCUGAUCCAGCAAUGCCGCGUGUGUGAAGAAGGCCUUCGGGUUGUAAAGCACUUUUGUCCGGAAAGAAAUCCUUGGCUCUAAUACAGUCGGGGGAUGACGGUACCGGAAGAAUAAGCACCGGCUAACUACGUGCCAGCAGCCGCGGUAAUACGUAGGGUGCAAGCGUUAAUCGGAAUUACUGGGCGUAAAGCGUGCGCAGGCGGUUUGCUAAGACCGAUGUGAAAUCCCCGGGCUCAACCUGGGAACUGCAUUGGUGACUGGCAGGCUAGAGUAUGGCAGAGGGGGGUAGAAUUCCACGUGUAGCAGUGAAAUGCGUAGAGAUGUGGAGGAAUACCAAUGGCGAAGGCAGCCCCCUGGGCCAAUACUGACGCUCAUGCACGAAAGCGUGGGGAGCAAACAGGAUUAGAUACCCUGGUAGUCCACGCCCUAAAACGAUGUCAACUAGUUGUUGGGGAUUCAUUUCCUUAGUAACGUAGCUAACGCGUGAAGUUGACCGCCUGGGGAGUACGGUCGCAAGAUUAAAACUUAAAGGAAUUGACGGGGUCAUAGCUG
RNAcentral lists this ribosomal RNA (580 nucleotides) under uncultured bacterium. RNAcentral's name for it is "partial 16S ribosomal RNA". It matches the Rfam family "Bacterial small subunit ribosomal RNA", at positions 355 to 932 of the family's 1533-position model. The record is from RNAcentral.